UUUUAUUUUUACUUCGGUUUUCUUUCUGGAUUUACUGUUUGACGUAUGAAUAUAUUAAAGGUUACGAAAUAGAUGAACACCAGACAGUGCUAGAUCUGGGGAAUACGGUGGGUGACCAAUAAGUUGGAAGCAACAGCCAUGCAAUGCAGUUAUACAACGUGUAUGUAGAUGCAUUGCCCUGAUGGAACUUCACACUUUUCGUGAAACCUACUACAUGGGCAGCACAUUCACCAGGAUGUUCUGAUUUCAUUCUUUACUAUUGCCUACUUCACUCGAAUAUCCAGUAUCAGCUGGGUGGAGCCAUAAUUCAUCAAUCUAUAUGAAAUCGUUGUCCUGUGAGAGUCUUUGAUGAUCAAUGAUAUGCUUGCUGCGAAAAACUGGAUUCACUUGAGGACGCCUUGAUGACAUGACUUAUUAGCAACACUCUCGUGGCUGCUGCUGACCGUGAGAAGUUUGUGGAAUACAGCACCAGUAAACAUUCUGUAUCUCGCAAAGAGUUUUAAAUUAGAUCUGUAAAUAUCUCUUAUAAUGUUUUGAGCCAUGUUUUUUAAUUAGUUCUGUAAAUAUCUCUUGUUUUGAGCCAUGUUUUUUAAUUAGUUCUGUAAAUAUCUCUUAUAAUGUUUUUAGUCAUGUUUUUUUUUUAAUUAGUUCUGUAAAUAUCUCUUAUAAUGUUUUUAGUCAUGUUUUUUUUAAUUAGUUCUGUAAAUAUCUCUUAUAAUGUUUUGGGCCAUGUUUUUAAUUAGUUCUGUAAAUAUCUCUUAUAAUGUUUUGGGCCAUGUUUUUUUUAAUUAGUUCUGUAAAUAUCUCUUAUAAUGUUUCGAGCCAUGUUUUUAACUUAGUUCUGUAAAUAUCUCUUAUAAUAUUUUCAGCCAUGUUUUUUUAAUUAGUUCUGUAAAUAUCUCUUAUAAUGUUUUGGGCCAUGUUUUUAAUUAGUUCUGUAAAUAUCUCUUAUAAGGAUUUGAGCCAUGUUUUUAAAUUAGUUCUGUAAAUAUCUCUUAUAAUGUUUUGAGCCAUGUUUUAAAUUAGUUCUGUAAAUAUCUCUUAUAAUCUUUUGAGCCAUGUUUUUAAAUUAGUUCCAUAAAUAUCUCUUAUAAUCUUUUGAGCCAUGUUUUUCGUUUGGAAUUAAAUUUUUGGUGCAAUACUGAUUUGUGUGUACCUAAGCUCUGGACACUUACUGUUUCCACUGUUUGACCGUAACAUUUUUUUUUUUUUUUUUUUUUAAUGAAUUCUUUUUGAGAGGAGGAUAUAUUACGUUGAUACUCGUCAGUGCGUUUUUCACACCUGUUUAAACUCGGUUUUAGUGAUAAUUUAAGAAGUUUGUGAUGAAGCUGAUUGACUCGAAAGUAGUUUUCUUUUUUCUUCUUCUUCUUCUUUUUUCUGUUGGAUUUUUCUUUUUCUUUUCUCUUGCUUCUUCAUGGUGGUGUUGUUGUUGUUUUGUUAUGUUAUGUUUUGUGUUUGUUUUGCUUUUUUGUUUUGUGCUGGGGAGUCGUUAAAUACCAAUUGACUACUAUUCAAUAUUACACCAUAAAGCUACGUGUGAAACUUCUGCAAUUAACGGUUUAUUUUUUCUCUUUUAUUUUUUUCUCUCUGUUUUUAAUUAAUCUGGGGUUGUUGUUUUUUCAGCACUUUGGGGAAAUAAUUUGUAAAACUAGCGCCAGACAUCAGUUCCUUCUUUCCGUUUAAGCACGCUGAAGACAGAAAGCCAAUACAAUUGGAUCUGAUCGGCGGCUAUUAUUUCCACAUUAAUUAGUAAUAUUGAUUACACAUUAUUAUUGUAUUGUCAUCCGAAAAUUUUUGUAAUAUGUAUGUUAUUAAUCGUUUAUUUUUAUCGAUGAUAUGUCAUUUUGGGUUUCAGUUUACAAUGCAAUUUAUCAACCGGCAGUUUUAUGGUGUAUGUGUCCCUGUGUGUGUGUGUGUGUGUGUGUGUGUGUGCGCGCGCGUGUGUGUGUGUGUGUGUGUGUGUGUGUGUGUGUGUGUGUGUGUGUGUGUGUGUGAUUGCCUUACUCAUCCCUAAAAUGUAUUAAAAGUAUGAAGACUGAGAUAAACAUCAUUUAGAUAAUUAAAUAUUAAUUACAAACUCACACAGAAAUGUUUUUAGCACACCUGCACCUGAAAUUAUGAACAAAUGCUUGAUUUAAUAGGGUGACAAACCUGAAAUUACCAUGUUACAAAUCAGGGCCAUGAGACUGAAUCUACUGAGUAAAAAUAACCCAAAACUGAUUCCAUUCAGCAUUUUACAGCAGUCAGUCAGUCAAUUGAUAAAGACUUCAAGAUUGAAUACAUGUUUUGUCAGUCUGAAAUUACACUUAUGGUUUAUUUUGCAUGAUAAUCCUUCUCUGUUUUGUAGAUAACACGUCAACACCGCAACUCCGGUCAGCAAACACAACUUAUUGUGUAUAAAACAAGUUUUAAAUCAUGCUACAUGAUUCCUUCCAUAUAGAAAAAACAACAAUCUUUCCAACAGACUAUGUCAUCAUUUUCAGUUAACAAAGGAAGGGUCACUGCGUAUGUUUAUUCUCUGUCAACACCGUAACGGCCAUAAUUAAUAUAUUGAUCUAUUAAAUGGAUUUUAUUCACUCAGAGAUCAUCAUAAAUGAAUGAUUUGAAGAUACCUUGGCAAUUUAUCAUAGCUAAUAAAAAAUAAUAUGAUGACAAUAUGUUUUUGUUACAUUUUGUCGUUACAAUUUUGAUCAAGUGUCUAAAUAAUCAUAUGUUCUACAUGGAAUAGCUUUAAAUUGUACUGAGGUGUCGCUGAACAAAAUUUAUAUUCAUUUGUAUUCCUAUUGUCUUGGCUAUUUAAUUGUAUAAUUGUAUCCAACAUUUAUUUUUGUGGCAGCUGGAUGCUUACUCAGUAAAUGUUUAUCACAUGUAAAACAUUUCAGGGGGUAUUGAAAGAGAAAACAAGGUAUGUUAGUACCGUAAUAUGCUGCCAUUGUGAAGUUGGUAAAAUAUCUAGAUAACCAUAUGUUAGAUACCAAGUAGCUUUAAAUAAAUAUGAAAUAACUUUAAAAUGUGCAGAGGUGUCGUUAAACAAACAAUCAUUUCGUAUCCUAUUGUCUUUUCCGCUUUAAUUGGAUGACCAUGUAAUUAUAUCCACUGUCUGGUUAUUGUAAGAACUGGAACCUUUUUUGUGCUCCCUGAAAAUACAGCUUAAAUAUUGCCGUGCUAUUUCACUGUUUGGUAUUCAUUCAGAAAGAUGAGUCAGUACAUGUUUAUCAUCUAUCAUCGUAAGUAUAAAUGAUGUGAAAACCGUAACUGUUUGUCAACACCGCCACACCUCUUUUUAUAAAUAAUUACUAUCCUAGUGAACCGCGUUAUUAAAGGGACAUUCCUGAAUUUGCUGCAAUUUUUUAAGAUG
Molecule: long non-coding RNA, 3358 nt
Organism: Gigantopelta aegis
Lineage: Eukaryota; Metazoa; Mollusca; Gastropoda; Neomphalida; Peltospiridae
Exons: 3
Source: RefSeq, a predicted model, not a curated record